RNAcentral lists this ribosomal RNA (405 nucleotides) under uncultured bacterium. RNAcentral's name for it is "bacterial SSU rRNA". It matches the Rfam family "Bacterial small subunit ribosomal RNA", at positions 29 to 426 of the family's 1533-position model. The record is from RNAcentral.
AACGAACGCUGGCGGCGCGCCUAAUACAUGCAAGUCGAGCGAGAAGACGUAGCAAUACGUUUGUAAAGCGGCGAACGGGUGAGGAAUACAUGGGUAACCUACCCUCGAGUGGGGAAUAACUAGCCGAAAGGUUAGCUAAUACCGCGUACGCUCCUUGGACUUCGGUUCAGGGAGGAAAGCGAUACCGUGGGUAUCGCGCUCUUGGAUGGGCUCAUGUCCUAUCAGCUUGUUGGUGAGGUAACGGCUCACCAAGGCUUCGACGGGUAGCUGGUCUGAGAGGACGAUCAGCCACACUGGCACUGCGACACGGGCCAGACUCCUACGGGAGGCAGCAGUAAGGAAUAUUGCGCAAUGGGCGAAAGCCUGACGCAGCGACGCCGCGUGGGGGAUGACGGCCUCGGUUGU